Molecule: small nuclear RNA, 166 nt
Organism: Erpetoichthys calabaricus (reedfish)
Lineage: Eukaryota; Metazoa; Chordata; Cladistia; Polypteriformes; Polypteridae
Gene: U1
Rfam family: U1 spliceosomal RNA
About the family: U1 is a small nuclear RNA (snRNA) component of the spliceosome (involved in pre-mRNA splicing).
Source: Ensembl
AUAGUUACCUGGUUGGGGUGAUACCAUGAUCACUAAAGUGGUUCUCCCAGGGCGAGGCCCAAACAUUGCACUCUGGGUGUGCUGACCCCUACAAUUUCCCCAAAUGCAAUAAACUCAACUGCAUAAUGCGUGAUAGUGGAGGGGACUACAUACACAUUGUCCUUUA